UCUGGAAUGGGGUUAGGAAAGAACUAGUAGGGUAUUGUGGAGCUACCAGACUUCAAAGGUCAAAGGAAUUGAGAUGGGCUGGGUUACCAUGAGGAUGAAGAUGAGGGCAAACCAAAGGGUAAUACUUUAAAAGGCGUAUUUAUCUAGGAGUACAAGCCUUACUCUAAGGAGCCCAAACAUAUUACAAUAGCUGGGAUGAGGUGUCACGAUUUGAGAUAUUCAAAAACUUGAUCAUCGACAGGUUGGUUGAACUGAGCAUCAAGGUAGUUUAUGUGAAGGUCACCACCAAGGUUAAGGAGCUGAAGCUGGAAAAGUACAUUGCUCUGCUUGAGAAGCUGAUUCAACAAGAGCUAGCUGCCUUGAUAGAGGAGCAUAUUAUUUUAUGAUGAUAUAAUAACGUUUGAUUUUUGUGAGGAU
Molecule: long non-coding RNA, 417 nt
Filed under: Ricinus communis (castor bean)
Lineage: Eukaryota; Viridiplantae; Streptophyta; Magnoliopsida; Malpighiales; Euphorbiaceae
Description: long non-coding RNA (RCOM_LNC000623)
Source: RNAcentral